RNAcentral lists this ribosomal RNA (746 nucleotides) under uncultured Parvimonas sp. Its description in RNAcentral is "bacterial SSU rRNA". It matches the Rfam family "Bacterial small subunit ribosomal RNA", at positions 28 to 776 of the family's 1533-position model. Lineage: Bacteria; Bacillati; Bacillota; Tissierellia; Tissierellales; Peptoniphilaceae. The record is from RNAcentral.
GACGAACGCUGGCGGCGUGCUUAACACAUGCAAGUCGAACGUGAUUUUUGUGGAAAUUCUUUCGGGAAUGGAAACGAAAUGAAAGUGGCGAACGGGUGAGUAACACGUGAGCAACCUACCUUACACAGGGGGAUAGCCGUUGGAAACGACGAUUAAUACCGCAUGAGACCACAGAAUCGCAUGAUAUAGGGGUCAAAGAUUUAUCGGUGUAAGAAGGGCUCGCGUCUGAUUAGCUAGUUGGAAGGGUAAAGGCCUACCAAGGCGACGAUCAGUAGCCGGUCUGAGAGGAUGAACGGCCACAUUGGAACUGAGACACGGUCCAAACUCCUACGGGAGGCAGCAGUGGGGAAUAUUGCACAAUGGGGGGAACCCUGAUGCAGCGACGCCGCGUGAGCGAAGAAGGUUUUCGAAUCGUAAAGCUCUGUCCUAUGAGAAGAUAAUGACGGUAUCAUAGGAGGAAGCCCCGGCUAAAUACGUGCCAGCAGCCGCGGUAAUACGUAUGGGGCGAGCGUUGUCCGGAAUUAUUGGGCGUAAAGGGUACGUAGGCGGUUUUUUAAGUCAGGUGUGAAAGCGUGAGGCUUAACCUCAUUAAGCACUUGAAACUGGAAGACUUGAGUGAAGGAGAGGAAAGUGGAAUUCCUAGUGUAGCGGUGAAAUGCGUAGAUAUUAGGAGGAAUACCGGUGGCGAAGGCGACUUUCUGGACUUUUACUGACGCUCAGGUACGAAAGCGUGGGGAGCAAACAGG